CUCUCUCUUUCCCUGUCAUCUGUGUAAAUAAUAAAGAAAUGCUGCAAUUAUUCUUCACCGUGGCCUUCUCGGCGGUUCCAUUGACGCUCUACGUACCGCCGUUGAGAAGCCUGAGCCUCUUCGUCGGAUCCUUUCAGCAUCUCCUCCGUCAAGUCACCCUCUACACUCUCCACAUCUCUCCUCGCUUACGCCUCGCCUUUUCUCGGAUCUUAUCUCCGAUCAUCCGAUCUCAACUUCGCCACAGGGGGUACGCGAAUAUGAUUUUAUUCCGAUGAGAUUUUACAUGAAGAGGUUAUGGGAUCGUUCAUUGUUUUUAGUUUCUGAUGAUCGAUAUCUGUCUUUAUAGGGCUUGAUUUUGAUGGUGAUGUAGUGGGUUUAGUUUUAGGUUUCUUAAUAGAUUUGUUAACAUCCAUUUGAACGUGUGGACAGACUUGUUGUCUGUGA
Long non-coding RNA from Helianthus annuus (common sunflower), 444 nucleotides. RefSeq lists it as uncharacterized. The transcript has 2 exons. Lineage: Eukaryota; Viridiplantae; Streptophyta; Magnoliopsida; Asterales; Asteraceae. The record is from RefSeq and is a predicted model, not a curated record.